AGAGUUUGAUCAUGGCUCAGAUUGAACGCUGGCGGCAUGCCUUACACAUGCAAGUCGAACGGCAGCACGGGUGCUUGCACCUGGUGGCGAGUGGCGAACGGGUGAGUAAUACAUCGGAACAUGUCCAGUAAUGGGGGAUAGCCCGGCGAAAGCCGGAUUAAUACCGCAUACGUACGGGGGAAAGCGGGGGAUCGGAAAGA
Molecule: ribosomal RNA, 200 nt
Filed under: uncultured bacterium
Lineage: Bacteria
Description: partial 16S ribosomal RNA
Rfam family: Bacterial small subunit ribosomal RNA
Source: RNAcentral